RNAcentral lists this long non-coding RNA (852 nucleotides) under Scleropages formosus (Asian bonytongue). Its description in RNAcentral is "lncRNA (ENSSFOG00015024592.1)". Lineage: Eukaryota; Metazoa; Chordata; Actinopteri; Osteoglossiformes; Osteoglossidae. The record is from RNAcentral.
CCUCCUCAUAUUUCACUGAUUUACUCUGUGAAAUUGCUGGCUGUCACUCAUAGACUCCCUUUAACCAGACAACUGCAAUCAUAACGCCUGCCACUAAAUCUUUGGGAAAGUGCAAUUUAAAAAAAAAAAUAUUAACAGACUAAGCUUUCAUUUUGGAAAAUUGAAAACCAUGGAAGAGUCCCCGAGCAGCUCUGUUUACGGGUUACAGAUGAAAUAUGGAAUUGCACCUGCUCCUAGGAAGAAGAGAGCUGUUCCUCAGUGUUUUGUGACGGAAAUGAAACACAGUUACAAGCACCCGCAAAAGCUGGCAAAGCUGAAGAACAACACCUCCCGCUAUGGAUGUAACACCCUGCAUGGCGUGUACGCCAAAGGCAUAGUCCCCACAAUGGUUCAUGACAACAAGCACAAUCAAGAGACCAAGAAACCACUCGCCACCAAAUCCAGACAAACUGGAGGAAAAACAGUGGACAACCAUGGUAUGCUCACAUCCCCGCAACCCAGCGAACACCAGCAGCUUUCUGGAUGUGUCGCGGGAACUGGUAAUGCAGAGCUGAGGCCUUCACUUGCUUUCAUUUUACUACACAGCAUUCUUUGAGUACCAUGUCUUGCAACUGGAAUUUGGCAGAUGCUUGUUCCUCUGUAGAUAAGCAGGUUCUGGAAGCUGCUGUGCAAAGUCCUGCUCCAUCCAGUCCUGUACAAGGGAUGGAGUAUCUGCCUGCUGUCCACUAUCAGGUCUCCGAACACGUGCCAACAUGGAUAUCAGAAUGGCCAGGACCUCUGUAAAUGGGCCAGCUUCAGCCAACCAAAGUCAAACUUCAGAUUUAAUGCAUUAAAAAAAUAAAUGAACUGCCU